RNAcentral lists this ribosomal RNA (526 nucleotides) under uncultured bacterium. RNAcentral's name for it is "bacterial SSU rRNA". It matches the Rfam family "Bacterial small subunit ribosomal RNA", at positions 338 to 866 of the family's 1533-position model. The record is from RNAcentral.
CCUACGGGAGGCAGCAGUGAGGAAUAUUGGUCAAUGGGCGCAAGCCUGAACCAGCCAUGCCGCGUGCAGGAUGACGGUCCUAUGGAUUGUAAACUGCUUUUGUACAGGAAGAAACACUCCCUCGUGAGGGAGCUUGACGGUACUGUAAGAAUAAGGAUCGGCUAACUCCGUGCCAGCAGCCGCGGUAAUACGGAGGAUCCAAGCGUUAUCCGGAAUCAUUGGGUUUAAAGGGUCCGUAGGCGGUUUUAUAAGUCAGUGGUGAAAUCUGGUCGCUCAACGAUCAAACGGCCAUUGAUACUGUAAGACUUGAAUUACUUGGAAGUAACUAGAAUAUGUAGUGUAGCGGUGAAAUGCUUAGAGAUUACAUGGAAUACCAAUUGCGAAGGCAGGUUACUACAAGUAUAUUGACGCUGAUGGACGAAAGCGUGGGGAGCGAACAGGAUUAGAUACCCUGGUAGUCCACGACGUAACGAUAGAUACUAGCUGUUGUAGCAUNUGAGUGGCGUAAGACGAAGUAGAGUAAGUA